Molecule: long non-coding RNA, 352 nt
Filed under: Brassica napus (rape)
Lineage: Eukaryota; Viridiplantae; Streptophyta; Magnoliopsida; Brassicales; Brassicaceae
Description: long non-coding RNA (BNAP_LNC006742)
Source: RNAcentral
UUUUUGCUCGUUUGGUAGCUAAAAAGAGAGCUAAGUGUGAAAUUUUUGAAAGAAGCACAGGAUGAUCACACAUUGUAUCUAUGUUGGCAAGCACAUAGACCUUUGCAACAGAUUAAGUAUGCAGUACUGCUCAUCGUUUAAGUUGAGAAUAGGGGACACUGAUCAUUGCUUUGAUUUCAGCUUUGUUCACUGAUUCAAAGAGAGUAGAAGGUGGAAUCGCAAGCAGUGAAAGCAAUGAUAUGAUCACCCGAAGAGCAAAGCUCAACCGUCCCGAUUUCUCUUCGAAAAGCUAGAGGAUCUCAGAACUCCUCAAUAUGUUAAUAUUUAUUUCUUCUUCCCCUCAGAACACAAU